GGGUAAGUCUUGUACGACCAGCUCCUGCUUAAUCCCCCAGGGUAGGAAUACAGCAAGGGUAGGCGGUUGUAGCGGUGCGAUGCAAGUAGCUUACCCUUA
Molecule: signal recognition particle RNA, 99 nt
Filed under: Bacteroidota bacterium
Lineage: Bacteria; Pseudomonadati; Bacteroidota
Also listed under: 2 other names
Description: signal recognition particle sRNA small type
Rfam family: Bacteroidales small SRP
About the family: The non-coding component of the signal recognition particle in Bacteroides
Source: RNAcentral